CCUGACGGAGCACGCCGCGUGAACGAUGAAGGCCUUCGGGUCGUAAAGUUCUGUUGUUAGGGAAGAACAAGUACCGGAGUAACUGCCGGUACCUUGACGGUACCUAACCAGAAAGCCACGGCUAACUACGUG
Molecule: ribosomal RNA, 132 nt
Filed under: uncultured bacterium
Lineage: Bacteria
Description: partial 16S ribosomal RNA
Rfam family: Bacterial small subunit ribosomal RNA
Source: RNAcentral